CGGCACGUAGCGCAGCCUGGUAGCGCACCGUCAUGGGGUGUCGGAGGUCGGAGGUUCAAAUCCUCUCGUGCCGACCA
RNAcentral lists this transfer RNA (77 nucleotides) under Escherichia coli. RNAcentral describes it as "tRNA-Pro(ggg)". It matches the Rfam family "tRNA". Rfam says of the family: Transfer RNA (tRNA) molecules are approximately 80 nucleotides in length. Their secondary structure includes four short double-helical elements and three loops (D, anti-codon, and T loops). Further hydrogen bonds mediate the characteristic L-shaped molecular structure. tRNAs have two regions of fundamental functional importance: the anti-codon, which is responsible for specific mRNA codon recognition, and the 3' end, to which the tRNAs corresponding amino acid is attached (by aminoacyl-tRNA synthetases). tRNAs cope with the degeneracy of the genetic code in two manners: having more than one tRNA (with a specific anti-codon) for a particular amino acid; and 'wobble' base-pairing, i.e. permitting non-standard base-pairing at the 3rd anti-codon position. RNAcentral also lists the same sequence under 2 other names. Lineage: Bacteria; Pseudomonadati; Pseudomonadota; Gammaproteobacteria; Enterobacterales; Enterobacteriaceae. The record is from RNAcentral.